This 1246-nucleotide ribosomal RNA is filed under the name Sesame phyllody phytoplasma. RNAcentral describes it as "bacterial SSU rRNA". It matches the Rfam family "Bacterial small subunit ribosomal RNA", at positions 153 to 1399 of the family's 1533-position model. Lineage: Bacteria; Bacillati; Mycoplasmatota; Mollicutes; Acholeplasmatales; Acholeplasmataceae. The record is from RNAcentral.
GAAACGACUGCUAAGACUGGAUAGGAAGAUAAAAGGCAUCUUUUAUCUUUUAAAAGACCUAGUAAUAGGUAUGCUUUAGGAGGGGCUUGCGCCAUAUUAGUUAGUUGGUAGGGUAAUGGCCUACCAAGACGAUGAUGUGUAGCUGGACUGAGAGGUUGAACAGCCACAUUGGGACUGAGACACGGCCCAAACUCCUACGGGAGGCAGCAGUAGGGAAUUUUCGGCAAUGGAGGAAACUCUGACCGAGCAACGCCGCGUGAAUGACGAAGUACUUCGGUAUGUAAAGUUCUUUUAUCAAGGAAGAAAAGCAAAUGGCGAACCAUUUGUUUGCCGGUACUUGAUGAAUAAGCCCCGGCUAAUUAUAUGCCAGCAGCCGCGGUAAGACAUAAGGGGCAAGUGUUAUCCGGAAUUAUUGGGCGUAAAGGGUGCGUAGGCGGUCUAGUAAGUCAGUGGUGUAAUGGCAACGCUUAACGUUGUCCGGCUAUUGAAACUGCUAAACUUGAGUUAGAUAGAGGCGAGUGGAAUUCCAUGUGUAGCGGUAAAAUGCGUAAAUAUAUGGAGGAACACCAGAGGCGUAGGCGGCUCGCUGGGUCUUAACUGACGCUGAGGCACGAAAGCGUGGGGAGCAAACAGGAUUAGAUACCCUGGUAGUCCACGCCGUAAACGAUGAGUACCAAGUGUCGGGUUAAACCGGUACUGAAGUUAACACAUUAAGUACUCCGCCUGAGUAGUACGUACGCAAGUAUGAAACUUAAAGGAAUUGACGGGACUCCGCACAAGCGGUGGAUCAUGUUGUUUAAUUCGAAGAUACCCGAAAAGCCUUACCAGGUCUUGACAUGUUUUUGCAAAAUGAUAGUAAUAUCGUGGAGGUUACCAGAAACACAGGUGGUGCAUGGUUGUCGUCAGCUCGUGUCGUGAGAUGUUAGGUUAAGUCCUAAAACGAGCGAAACCCUUAUCGUUAGUUGCCAGCACGUUAUGGUGGGGACUUUAACGAGACUGCCAAUGAUAAAUUAGAGGAAGGUGAGGAUCACGUCAAAUCAGCAUGCCCCUUAUGACCUGGGCUACAAACGUGAUACAAUGGCUGUUACAAAGGGUAGCUGAAACGCAAGUUCUUGGCCAAUCCCCAAAAACAGUCCCAGUCCGGAUUGAAGUCUGCAACUCGGCUUCAUGAGGUUGGAAUCGCUAGUAAUCGCGAAUCAGCAUGUCGCGGUGAAUACGUUCUCGGGUUUGUACACACCGCCCGUCA